Molecule: ribosomal RNA, 438 nt
Filed under: Triticum aestivum (bread wheat)
Lineage: Eukaryota; Viridiplantae; Streptophyta; Magnoliopsida; Poales; Poaceae
Description: partial small subunit ribosomal RNA
Source: RNAcentral
AUGACCAAAGAUAACUUGAGGAAAAGACACAUCAUAAAACCUCUUGAGUGCGUCUUUUUCUCUAAGGCAGAAACCAAUUUCCACUUUUUUUUGACAGCAUUGUGGCAAAAAAUAUCUAGGUCAUUUGUAUCUGAUCACUUUAAGGUUCCAACAGGGACUGACUUUGAAUCUGUAGCCAGAUUCUGGAUCUCUAAUAAGAGAAACUCAACUUUAAAUUCUGUUACUUCCGCAGUCCUGUGGUGUUUGUGGAAGUAUAGGAACUCUAUAAUCUUUAACAACACCAUUUGGACUUCUAUUAUCCAGGUAUGGAGACUGAUCCUCAGAAUGCUCAAAUUCUGGGCGAUCCUUUCUCCGAGAAGUGGCAAGGCAAGAUUGGAGGAGUUCCUGACAGCGCUAGCAGCGUUCUCCCAGCAGCCGUUGCGGAUAACGGGUGGCUGA